UUGUGGAUUUAGCUCAGCGGUAGAGCGUUUGCCUAGCAAGCACAAGGUCCUGGGUUCGAUCCCCAGCUUCAAAAA
RNAcentral lists this transfer RNA (75 nucleotides) under Rattus norvegicus (Norway rat). RNAcentral's name for it is "tRNA-Ala-AGC-9-1". The stretch from base 10 to 66 matches the Rfam family "tRNA", at positions 8 to 63 of the family's 71-position model. Rfam says of the family: Transfer RNA (tRNA) molecules are approximately 80 nucleotides in length. Their secondary structure includes four short double-helical elements and three loops (D, anti-codon, and T loops). Lineage: Eukaryota; Metazoa; Chordata; Mammalia; Rodentia; Muridae. The record is from RNAcentral.